Long non-coding RNA from Capsicum annuum, 730 nucleotides. RefSeq lists it as uncharacterized. The record is from RefSeq and is a predicted model, not a curated record. Lineage: Eukaryota; Viridiplantae; Streptophyta; Magnoliopsida; Solanales; Solanaceae. The transcript has 2 exons.
UAGAAACAACUUUAACAGUUACUCUAAGGCUUCCUUUCAUCAUAAAGAGGUGGGAUAAUGAAUUUAAAAAAAAGGAAGAAAUUGGAAGAGGCUGCUAAAAAUUAUAGCUCUUAGCUGCAAGAUAGUGAUGACAACAACAAAUAGUCAACACCUCAUGUGACCAAAGCUACACCUAAACAUAGGGAAACAAAUAGACAAAAGACAGUACAUAUUUGCAGGGAUAAGUACAAUGGCAAAAGCAAAAGAAGAAGGGCAGAACAGGAAAAAAAAUAAUAUCAACACUAGCAGAAGAUAUGCAUGCCUAAGUCCCCAUAAUAUAAUACAAAUGUAGGCUUUCAGACUCAAAAUAUGCAAGCAAAUAAUCCUAAGCUGUUGAAUCUGCAAAAUCCAUCAGGCUACUUUUCCUGGAAAAUAACAACUCAAUUAUUGCUUCAAGCAUGGUUUUUGGUACUUGAAAAAUAACAAGAAAUCUCCAAUUAUGUCUCCAGUUUGUUUUUGUUUUCACCCUGGGAAAAGCAUACUCGUUUAGUUAUGGUCAAGGCUGAAAGGGGUUUGAUCAAUCGGAUCAUCCUUUUGGAUGGCUUCAUCAUCUAUUAAUGGUUCCACAGUUCGGUAUUUGGUAUUUUCAAAAGAUACAGAGUUCUUGGUUGUUUGUUUCCACAAAUGUUGAAGAUGUUCAAGAACUCUUAAUUUCUAUUAUCCUCAACUUGCUCAUGUUGGUUUUUGCUAA